Molecule: ribosomal RNA, 425 nt
Filed under: uncultured bacterium
Lineage: Bacteria
Description: partial 16S ribosomal RNA
Rfam family: Bacterial small subunit ribosomal RNA
Source: RNAcentral
GUGGGGAAUCUUGCGCAAUGGGCGAAAGCCUGACGCAGCCAUGCCGCGUGAAUGAUGAAGGUCUUAGGAUUGUAAAAUUCUUUCACCGGGGACGAUAAUGACGGUACCCGGAGAAGAAGCCCCGGCUAACUUCGUGCCAGCAGCCGCGGUAAUACGAAUGGGGCUAGCGUUGCUCGGAAUUACUGGGCGUAAAGGGAGCGUAGGCGGACAUUUAAGUCAGGGGUGAAAUCCCGGGGCUCAACCUCGGAAUUGCCUUUGAUACUGGGUGUCUUGAGUGUGAGAGAGGUAUGUGGAACUCCGAGUGUAGAGGUGAAAUUCGUAGAUAUUCGGAAGAACACCAGUGGCGAAGGCGACAUACUGGCUCAUUACUGACGCUGAGGCUCGAAAGCGUGGGGAGCAAACAGGAUUAGAAACCCUGGUAGUCC